CAGCCGCCGCGGUAAUACGUAGGGUGCAAGCGUUAAUCGGAAUUACUGGGCGUAAAGCGUGCGCAGGCGGUUUGUUAAGACAGAUGUGAAAUCCCCGGGCUCAACCUGGGAACUGCAUUUGUGACUGGCAAGCUAGAGUAUGGCAGAGGGGGGUGGAAUUCCGCGUGUAGCAGUGAAAUGCGUAGAUAUGCGGAGGAACACCGAUGGCGAAGGCAGCCCCCUGGGCCAAUACUGACGCUCAUGCACGAAAGCGUGGGGAGCAAACAGGAUUAGAUACCCCGUAGUCCCUGUCUCUUAUACA
This 301-nucleotide ribosomal RNA is filed under the name uncultured bacterium. Its description in RNAcentral is "partial 16S ribosomal RNA". It matches the Rfam family "Bacterial small subunit ribosomal RNA", at positions 509 to 808 of the family's 1533-position model. The record is from RNAcentral.